UCGGGCUCAAGGCAACGUCGUUUGUCCUGUUGCCUAGACUGGAAUCGCUUCAAUCCUACUUACAGGGGGUACCACUUUUGACUCUCUUUUCAAAUUUAGUGUGCCGUUAACCAAUUAUUCAGUUUGUAACAUUUCUCAUCGGUCUAAAGAAGCUGAGUUUCUUCGAGCCUGCAGUCUCAUCAUCUGGGACGAGGCUACUAUGGUACCUAAGCAUGACUUCACCAAGUGGAUGCAUUGCUAAGAGACAUCACCAACAAUGACCAUACCAAGUUCGGUGGCAAAGUUCUGCUGCUCGGAAGAAACUUUAGGCAGGUCCUGCCUGUGGUUCAGCACGGUCGUCGGGCCAGAUCAGGUCAAUGCCUGCAUCUAGAACUCUCCAUUGUUGCCUUCCUUCAGAAAGUUCAGCCUGAGAGUCAACAUGAGGGUAGAGCAUGGCCAGGAGGAGUUCCAAGAAUUCCUCAUGCGAGUGGGCGACGGGCUUACACCACCAAUCGUAUAUCUGCCCGAAAACUUAUUCGAGGUUCCGAGUAUGAUGGUGCUACAGGACGAUGAGAACAUCUGUUCGGUUGUGUUUGGUACCGAAGGUCUCACCGAAGAGGUAGUCAGCAGCCAGGCGAUACUGUGUCCAAAAAAUGAGGAUGUUGAUGUAGUCAACAAAAAGAUGGUGUCCCAAUUACGUACAUAAUCACGUACAUACCGGAGUUUCGACAGGCUGGAGGACACAGCAGAAGAAGGGAUGAAUGUGCCUGUCGAGUUCCUAAGCACACUCACACUUUCUUCCCUUCCUCCUCACUCUUUGACCCUUGAUAUUGGAUCAUGCUUCAUGCUUAUCCGAAAUCUAGAUCCCAAGCAUGGUCUUUGCAAUGGGUCAAGGUAUAUCGUUGAUCGCAUGUCUAACUAUGUCAUAGAUGAAAAAAUUAUAAAUGGAUCCUUCAAAGGUAAAAGAGCGAAUCUUCAAGUUCGACAACUUUCUUGCCAUCACCCUGACUUGGUAUGCAGGGUGUUCAAAAUGAAGCUGGAGGACUUCAUUGAGGAGCUUACGAAGCAUCUAAUUUUGGGCAAUGUUAAUGUCUACACUUAUACCAUUGAAUUCCAAAAGCAUGGCCUACCUCAUGCUCACAUCCUCAUUAGCAUGUAUAAACCUGACAAAAUUUAAACUCCAGAAGCAGCUGAUGCUACUAUAAGUGCACAAAUUACUAAUUUCAAUGUUUCGCCUCAACUUCAUGAAUUGGUCAAGAGUCACAUGGUUCAUGUCAAGUGUGGCAAGGAUGCCUCCUGCUACAGAGAAGGAAAUGCCGCUUCAACUUUCCCAAGGCUUUUAGGACUGAAACUCACCUAAACUACAAAGGCUUUGUGCAGUAUCGGAGGCCAGACAAUAAUUGUACCGUGAUUAUUGGUACGAACCAGUAUGACAACAGGCACAUUGUUUCGUAUAACCCGUACCUUCUUCACAAAUACCAGUGCCACAUCAAUGUCGAGAUCUGCACUUCUAUGCAGGCCACAAAAUAUCUGUACAAGUACAUCCACAAGGGUCACAAUUCGACUGUACUGCAAGUCGAUGAUAUUAUGAGGGACAAGGUGCAGUCGUUCAUUCACUGUCGCUACGUCAGUUCCCCAGAAGCGUGUUGGCGUUUCCCUUCAUUCAAAAUGGCCGACAAAAACAUUGUCGUUGUGAGGCUUGGACUUCACUUUGAAGGCAUGCAGCCUGUCUACAUUCAAAAUGACAAUGUCAAUGCUGCUUUGGAGAGUGCACAGCAGAAAAACACACACUUGACUGCAUACUUCCAUUACAAUUUGCAGCACAAACUUAGUUAUCAUGCUGUGGACGGUGACUGAUGGUCUACGCCAUGUCCUCUUCAAGUAAAGUAUGUCGACUUCCCGCUGUACUUCGGCUGGAUGGAGAAGGAGUGAGUUUGGAAGCCACAAGACAAGGGUGGCUUCAACAUAAUCUCUAGGUUGUACCAGGAAAGCCCCAGAAGGAUGAGGAACUCAUGUGCCUUAGAAUUUAUCUUCACAAUGUCACGGGUGCUACAUCCUUCUAAAACAUACACACUGUGGGUGUGUUCGAGCAUCCUACCUAUUAAGAUGCAAGCCAAGCUCUUCUUCUUCUCGACAGGGACGACAUCUACGAGCUGUAGUUAUUCGAAGCGGCGACUAGGUGUUCCCCUGGCCUACGGGUAUUCUUUGCCCACAUUCUAUUUCACUGCAACCUAUCGGAUCCUCUGCAUUUGUUAGCUCGGCUCAGGCAACACUUGCUCGAUGACACUUCUGCUGUUGAAGUGGCCUGUGAAAAUCUAGCACUCUUACAAAUUUCCUCACGGCUUUCGUACUUCAACAAAAGUCUGGCCGACUAUAGCUUUCCUUCGCCCGAUGAGGGACGUGUUCAAGAAAUGCCGCAAUUUGAUGUAGAUGUCGACAAAACGGAAGCAGAGCGCAUGUGUCCCUUCUCAAUGUGGAUCAACGAGCAGUUUACUAACACAUCACGGCUGCUGUUUUUGAGUCUUAAUCUUGCGAAGAAUCUCGCUGCAGAGCUUAUUUCUUGGAUGGUCCUGGAGGUUCUGGGAAGACGUUCCUCUACAACCGUUUCAUACAUUGCUUUCGGGCUCAAGGCUAGGUCGUUUGUCCUGUUGCCUGGACUGGAAUCGCUUCAAUCCUACUUAAAGGGGGUACCACUUCUGACUCUCUUUUCAAAUCUAGUGUGCCCUUAACCAAUGACUCAGUUUGUAACAUUUCUCAUCAGUCUAAAGAAGCUGAGCUUCUUCGGGCCUGCAGUCUCAUCAUCUGGGACGAGGCUCCUAUGGCACCUAGGCAUGACUUCAAUAAGUGGAUGCAUUCCUAAGAGACAUCACCAACAAUGACCGCACCAAGUUCGGUGGCAAAGUUCUGCUGCUCGGAGGAGACUUCAGGCAGGUCCUGCCUGUGGUUCAGUACGGUGGUCGGGCCGAUCAGGUCAAUGCCUGCAUCAAGAACUCUCCAUUGUGGCCUUCCUUCAGGCAGUUCAGCCUGAGAGUCAACAUGAGAGCAGACCACGGCCAGGAGGAGUUCCAAGACUUCUUCAUGCGAAUGGGCGACGGGCUAACACCACCCAUCGUAGAUCUGCCCGAUGACGUCAUCGAGGUUCCGAGUACGACGAUGCUACAGGACGAUGCGGUCAUCUGUUCGAUUGUGUUCGGUACCGAAUGUCUCACCGAAGAGGUAUGUCUUCGAGUAGUAUAUAUUGGGGGCUCCUACGCCUGGGUCCGGGGCGUGGUGUGUGGUGGUGCCGACCACCAUAUUGGAUUAUGACGUCACGAUAGCCAUCUUGGAUGGUUGUGACCUUGACCUUUGACCUUGACCCUGACGGCCAUUUUGGAUCCACCAUUUGGAUCCGCCAUUUUUGAUGAUGCAAUGUGUGUUCUCGUAAAUUCUGGCGAUGUGUUUUCCACCAUUUUGAAUUAUGAUGUCACCGUUGCAAUUUCCGUUACGGCCGCCAUCUUUAACUUUUUUAUUUAUUAUCCGAUUUUAAUUAAUUUUUUUUAAAAUUUAUAAAAAAAUUCACUUAAUAAAAAUUUAAUAAAAAAUAUUUAAAAAAUAUACUUUUACGACACGGAGUUCGGAGUCCUCGGUUCUAACCCGGUGAGGGCAAAAAAAUAAAAAUGGCGACCGAUCCUUCCCCCCGUGGUAGGUGCUGGCAGACUGACCCCCACCACUUUUUACCAAUGCAUAUUCAAACUUACAAACCCAUCGCCACCCCUCCCCCCCUCCGCCAACCCUUCCUAAAAAAUUAUUUUUUUCGCACACGGCAAUCACCCCUCCCAUUUUUAAUUUUUUAUUUUUCAUUGUAAUAGCCACCCUCCACCACUACUCUAGUUUUUUUCCCUCCCUCCCUCACCUUACCGUCAUUCCCACCCCUACCCUCCUCCUUACCCCUAUUUUACCUUUUAAAGUAUAAAUAACGGCCGCAGGACCCGGGAGCCGUCAGUUUUUGCCUCAGUUUCUCCUCUGUCGACCCCAAGUACUUACUGCGUGCCGCGUAGACGUCUGUCGACGCCGAGUACUUAGAUCGCGUCGCGGAGACGAAUUUUUGUUUUUUUCACGUAAUAAAUUAACCAUGGUUUCGCUUGCCGAAAUGCAUGAAUUCAUUGCUGAAAUAAUCACAGGAUAUGAAGGGAUGUCGUUCGAUCAAAUUCGUCAAUCGCCAACUGCAACCAUCAAAAGUACCCUUGAAGCAUUUCCCGGAUGCGAGGAAUUCAUUCUGUAUCUACACCACCGCAUCCUGUGUAUGGUGGAGGCGGCUGUAGAGCUCCAGCAGCAGCAGCAGCAGCAGCAGCAGCAGCAGCAGCAGCAAGAUGCACAAGACUCCGGCAUCGAAGAGUGAGGUGCCAUCGUCGCUUUAUCCUCGUAACAAAUCCAGCAACAUCAACAUGUCGACGACAUAGGCGGCGGCGGGUGACCGUAUCUACGAGGGUCGUCGGAGCCCAUCGAUGUCGCCAUCGUCCGACACGUUUUGGACAUCUUUCGCAGAGGGGCCGUGGCAGCAGCACGUCCCAAACGAGGACGUCUCAGCCGUCGUGACGCGACAGCUGCCCCGGAGAUCGUCAACGUGGUUCGCCCAGAGGACAUCUUCUAUCAGGUACCCAGACUUUGUCGACCACGUCGGCGACGUCGACGACGUCGGCGACGUAGAUGUCAUCACGUGGUGCUGGGACCUCUGUCCGGACCCACGCCCUCACGAGACUGAAAAGUGUGCCUUGUUAGACAUCAGCCAAAAAAACUAUUCUUUCGUAGGAUCAGGACAGCAGUGCGUUCAAUAUCAAAUGUUUUAUCACGGUUCCACUACCGACGUGUUCGCCACGAACAUUACGUAUUUUGAAUCGUGUCGUGACGACAUGCACUUAAGGCUUAAAUGGGAUUCCAAGGAUCCCUUCGGUACCGUGAAACCUAUAAUUGCAUAUGACUGUACGAACCCAAAUUGUGUAAUCAAACUAUGCCAUACGCAAGCGUAUUUUCCGUGUUCGAUUGAUGAACUAAAGACAUCGAAAAUCGGUAAUCGUAAAUAUCGCUACAGUGAACAGUGCCGUAGACUAAAACAUUGUAGGUACAUGUACCACGAUGAUUUUGGUUAUUGUUCAAAGUUUGAGACACCUUGCUGUCGUGAACUGUCCCGUGGCCAGAUCGAAACUAUUGUGUGACGCUAACUUUAACGCAGCAAUGUAUAUUCACAGGCAAUGCAAAAAUUAACCGUCAUAUACUUUAUAAACAAUAUUUUGAUGUUGUAUAUUUCUUGCAGUGUAUCUUUUUAAUAAAAACGUGAACGAAAAAAAAAA
Bacillus rossius redtenbacheri is the source of this 5306-nucleotide long non-coding RNA. RefSeq lists it as uncharacterized. The record is from RefSeq and is a predicted model, not a curated record. The transcript is spliced from 2 exons. Lineage: Eukaryota; Metazoa; Arthropoda; Insecta; Phasmatodea; Bacillidae.